CUCAGACUUGACGAGCGAAGCGGUCGGGCCGGUGGGGGAUAUCUGCGUGGCUUUUCAACACCGAGAACACCGAGGGGCUGACACACCGUGGUGGUUUUAUUUCUGCUGGACAGGUCACCUGCAGGUUUGAGUCUUUCAUAGCCCUGUACUUCUCACCAGUAUACACUGACCGGACCAUGCUGGCUGACCUGGAUUACAACCACCAUGUCCACAGUCCAGCCAGGACAAAAGCUGAUGACACAGUUCAGUACAGUAAGGUGUAAAACAAAAUGUCCAGGAAGUGGAGCUUGUACUCACUGAAGGUGGAGA
Micropterus salmoides (largemouth bass) is the source of this 309-nucleotide long non-coding RNA. RefSeq lists it as uncharacterized. Lineage: Eukaryota; Metazoa; Chordata; Actinopteri; Centrarchiformes; Centrarchidae. The record is from RefSeq and is a predicted model, not a curated record. The transcript is spliced from 3 exons.